RNAcentral lists this ribosomal RNA (258 nucleotides) under uncultured bacterium. Its description in RNAcentral is "partial 16S ribosomal RNA". It matches the Rfam family "Bacterial small subunit ribosomal RNA", at positions 793 to 1055 of the family's 1533-position model. The record is from RNAcentral.
GUCCACGCCGUAACGAUGAAUACUAGGUGUUGGGAGCAAAGCUCUUCGGUGCCGCCGCAAACGCAUUAAGUAUUCCACCUGGGAGUACGUUCGCAAGAAUGAAACUCAAAGGAAUUGACGGGGCCCGCACAAGCAGUGGAGUAUGUGGUUUAAUUCGACGCAACGCGAAGAACCUUACCAGGUCUUGACAUCGUAUGCAUAGUGUAGAGAUACAUGAAGUCCUACGGGACAUACAGACAGGUGGUGCAUGGUUGUCGU